GUUGAGCUAACCGAUACUAAUGAACCGUGAGGCUUAACCUUACAACGCCGAAGC
This 54-nucleotide ribosomal RNA is filed under the name Enterobacter asburiae. RNAcentral's name for it is "partial 23S ribosomal RNA". The record is from RNAcentral. Lineage: Bacteria; Pseudomonadati; Pseudomonadota; Gammaproteobacteria; Enterobacterales; Enterobacteriaceae.